This 253-nucleotide ribosomal RNA is filed under the name uncultured bacterium. Its description in RNAcentral is "partial 16S ribosomal RNA". It matches the Rfam family "Bacterial small subunit ribosomal RNA", at positions 524 to 776 of the family's 1533-position model. The record is from RNAcentral.
CACGUAGGGCGCGAGCGUUGUCCGGAAUUAUUGGGCGUAAAGAGCUCGUAGGCGGCCUGUUGCGUCCGCUGUGAAAGCCCGGGGCUUAACCCCGGGUCUGCAGUGGAUACGGGCAGGCUAGAGGUAGGUAGGGGAGAAUGGAAUUCCCGGUGUAGCGGUGAAAUGCGCAGAUAUCGGGAGGAACACCGGUGGCGAAGGCGAUUCUCUGGGCCUUACCUGACGCUGAGGAGCGAAAGCGUGGGGAGCGAACAGG